UCCUUGUUAGCUCAGUUGGUAGAGCGUUCGGCUUUUACUACCGAAAUGUCACGGGUUCGAGCCCCGUAUGAGGAG
Eremothecium gossypii ATCC 10895 is the source of this 75-nucleotide non-coding RNA. The record is from the annotation of a RefSeq genome assembly. Lineage: Eukaryota; Fungi; Ascomycota; Saccharomycetes; Saccharomycetales; Saccharomycetaceae.